RNAcentral lists this ribosomal RNA (253 nucleotides) under uncultured bacterium. Its description in RNAcentral is "partial 16S ribosomal RNA". It matches the Rfam family "Bacterial small subunit ribosomal RNA", at positions 524 to 776 of the family's 1533-position model. The record is from RNAcentral.
UACGUAGGGUGCGAGCGUUGUCCGGAUUUAUUGGGCGUAAAGCGCACGUAGGCGGCUUUCUAAGUCGGGGGUGAAAUCCUGGAGCUCAACUCCAGAACUGCCUUCGAUACUGGAGAGCUCGAGUCCGGGAGAGGUGAGUGGAACUGCGAGUGUAGAGGUGAAAUUCGUAGAUAUUAGGAAGAACACCAGUGGCGAAGGCGGCUCACUGGUCCGGUACUGACGCUGAGGUGCGAAAGCGUGGGGAGCAAACAGG